UAGGAACCGUCCAAACGUUACUCGGAAUCAAUGGGCUUAAAGGGGGCGUAGGCCGCGCGGAGGGUGGGAUGUGAAAUCCCCCGGCACAACCGGGGAAUAGCGUCCCAAACCGCCGUGCUCGAGGGAGACAGAGGUGAGCGGAACUGAUGGUGGAGCGGUGAAAUGCGUUGAUAUCAUCAGGAACACCAGUGGCGAAAGCGGCUCACUGGGUCUUUCCUAACGCUGAGGCACGAAAGCUAGGGGAGUGAACGGG
RNAcentral lists this ribosomal RNA (253 nucleotides) under uncultured bacterium. RNAcentral's name for it is "partial 16S ribosomal RNA". It matches the Rfam family "Bacterial small subunit ribosomal RNA", at positions 524 to 776 of the family's 1533-position model. The record is from RNAcentral.